This 914-nucleotide ribosomal RNA is filed under the name uncultured marine archaeon. RNAcentral describes it as "bacterial SSU rRNA". It matches the Rfam family "Archaeal small subunit ribosomal RNA", at positions 1 to 921 of the family's 1478-position model. The record is from RNAcentral.
UUCCGGUUGAUCCCGCCGGACCUGACUGCUAUCGGAUUGAUACUAAGCCAUGCGAGUCUUUGUAGUAAUACAAGGCAUACGGCUCAGUAACGCGUAGUCAACCUACCCUAUGGACAAGAAUAAUCUCGGGAAACUGAGCAUAAUUCUUGAUAGAUCAUAAUGCCUGGAAUGGUUUAUGGUUAAAAUGAUUCGUCGCCAUAGGAUGGGACUGCGGCCUAUCAGCUUGUUGGUGAGGUAAUGGCCCACCAAGGCGAUUACAGGUACGGGCUCUGAGAGGAGAAGCCCGGAGAUGGGUACUGAGACAAGGACCCAGGCCCUAUGGGGCGCAGCAGGCGAGAAAACUUUGCAAUGUGCGAAAGCACGACAAGGUUAGUCCGAGUGAUUUCUGCUAAAGAGAUCUUUUGCUAGUUAUAAAACCACUAGUGAAUAAGGGGUGGGCAAGUUCUGGUGUCAGCCGCCGCGGUAAAACCAGCACCUCAAGUGGUCAGGAGGAUUAUUGGGCCUAAAGCAUCCGUAGCCUGCUUUGUAAGUUUUCGGUUAAAUCCAUGUGCUCAACGCAUGGGCUGCCGAAAAUACUGCAUAGCUAGGGAGUGGGAGAGGUAGACGGUACUCAGUAGGUAGGGGUAAAAUCCUUUGAUCUAUUGAUGACCACCUGUGGCGAAGGCGGUCUACCAGAACACGUUCGACGGUGAGGGAUGAAAGCUGGGGGAGCAAACCGGAUUAGAUACCCGGGUAGUCCCAGCUGUAAACGAUGCAGACUCGAUGAUGCAUUGGCAUAAUAGCCAUUGCAGUGUCGCAGGGAAGCCGUUAAGUCUGCCGCCUGGGAAGUACGUACGCAAGUAUGAAACUUAAAGGAAUUGGCGGGGGAGCACCACAAGGGGUGAAGCCUGCGGUUCAAUUGGAGUCAACGCCGG